UACAGAGGGUGCAAGCGUUGUUCGGAAUUAUUGGUCGUAAAGCGCGUGUAGGCGGCUUUGCAAGUCGGGUGUGAAAGCCCUCAGCUCAACUGAGGAAGUGCGCCCGAAACUGCAGAGCUUGAGUGCCGGAGAGGGUGGCGGAAUUCCCCAAGUAGAGGUGAAAUUCGUAGAUAUGGGGAGGAACACCGGUGGCGAAGGCGGCCACCUGGACGGUAACUGACGCUGAGACGCGAAAGCGUGGGGAGCAAACAGG
Molecule: ribosomal RNA, 253 nt
Filed under: uncultured bacterium
Lineage: Bacteria
Description: partial 16S ribosomal RNA
Rfam family: Bacterial small subunit ribosomal RNA
Source: RNAcentral